RNAcentral lists this unclassified non-coding RNA (160 nucleotides) under uncultured Leohumicola. RNAcentral describes it as "sequence contains ITS1". Lineage: Eukaryota; Fungi; Ascomycota; Leotiomycetes. The record is from RNAcentral.
CAGAGUUCAUGCCCUCACGGGUAGAUCUCCCACCCUUGAAAUUCUUACCUUUGUUGCUUUGGCGGGCCGCGGCCUCCGCUACCGGCCCCGGCUGGUAUGUGCCUGCCAGAGGACCCCAAACUCUGAAUGUUAGUGUCGUCUGAGUACUAUACAAUAGUUA